RNAcentral lists this ribosomal RNA (253 nucleotides) under uncultured bacterium. Its description in RNAcentral is "partial 16S ribosomal RNA". It matches the Rfam family "Bacterial small subunit ribosomal RNA", at positions 524 to 776 of the family's 1533-position model. The record is from RNAcentral.
UACGUAGGGUGCAGGCGUUAAUCGGAAUUACUGGGCGUAAAGCGUGCGCAGGCGGUUCUAUAAGACAGAUGUGAAAUCCCCGGGCUCAACCUGGGAACUGCAUUUGUGACUGUAGAGCUGGAGUGCGGCAGAGGGGGAUGGAAUUCCGCGUGUAGCAGUGAAAUGCGUAGAUAUGCGGAGGAACACCGAUGGCGAAGGCAAUCCCCUGGGCCUGCACUGACGCUCAUGCACGAAAGCCAGGGGAGCGAACGGG